GAUGAAGAACGCAGCGAAAUGCGAUACUUGGUGUGAAUUGCAGAAUCCCGUGAACCAUCGAGUCUUUGAACGCAAGUUGCGCCCGAAGCCUCGGCUAAGGGCACGUCUGCCUGGGCGUCACGCAUCGCGUCUCCCCCAAACCGCCAAGGCGGAGGGGAAGGAAGAUGGCUUCCCGUGCCUCACCCGGCGCGGUUGGCCUAAAUUUGGAGCCCGCGGCACUUAGCUCUCGCGGCGAUAGGUGGUGAACAAGGCCUUGGCCGUGCAAUCAACCCGCUGCGAAGCUCUAUGUCACGUGCGCUCGUCGGACCCUUUGAAGUUGCCUUCGGUGACUUAAAACCUUUGCGACCCCAGGUCAGGCGGGGCUACCCGCUGAAUUUAAGCAUAUCAAUAAGCGGAGGA
RNAcentral lists this unclassified non-coding RNA (399 nucleotides) under soil metagenome. RNAcentral's name for it is "partial contains 5.8S ribosomal RNA, internal transcribed spacer 2, and large subunit ribosomal RNA". The stretch from base 1 to 120 matches the Rfam family "5.8S ribosomal RNA", at positions 35 to 154 of the family's 154-position model. The record is from RNAcentral.